ACUCCUACGGGAGGCAGCAGUGGGGAAUAUUGCACAAUGGGCGCAAGCCUGAUGCAGCCAUGCCGCGUGUGUGAAGAAGGCCUCGGUUGUAAAGCACUUUCUAGUCGUGAGGAAGGCGGGUACGGUUAAUAGCGUAUUCGUUUGUACGUUAGUCGACAGAAGAAGCACCGGCUAACUCCGUGCCAGCAGCCGCGGUAAUACGGAGGGUGCGAGCGUUAAUCGGAAUUACUGGCGUAAAGCGCAUGCAGGUGGUUUGUUAAGUUCAGAUGUGAAAGCCCGGGGGCCAACCUCGGAAUAGCAUUUGAACUAGGCAGACUAGAGUACUGUAGAGGGGGUUAGGAAUUUCAGGUGUAGCGGUGAAAUGCGUAGAGAUCUGAAGGAAUACCGGUGGCGAAGGCGGCCCCUCGGACAGAUACUGACACUCAGAUGCGAAAGCUGGGGAGCAACAGGAUUAGAUACCCUGGUAGGAUAGCG
This 474-nucleotide ribosomal RNA is filed under the name uncultured bacterium. RNAcentral's name for it is "bacterial SSU rRNA". It matches the Rfam family "Bacterial small subunit ribosomal RNA", at positions 335 to 801 of the family's 1533-position model. The record is from RNAcentral.